GUGGGUAGUUUGACUGGGGCGGUCUCCUCCUAAAGAGUAACGGAGGAGCACGAAGGUUGGCUAAUCCUGGUCGGACAUCAGGAGGUUAGUGCAAUGGCAUAAGCCAGCUUGACUGCGAGCGUGACGGCGCGAGCAGGUGCGAAAGCAGGUCAUAGUGAUCCGGUGGUUCUGAAUGGAAGGGCCAUCGCUCAACGGAUAAAAGGUACUCCGGGGAUAACAGGCUGAUACCGCCCAAGAGUUCAUAUCGACGGCGGUGUUUGGCACCUCGAUGUCGGCUCAUCACAUCCUGGGGCUGAAGUAGGUCCCAAGGGUAUGGCUGUUCGCCAUUUAAAGUGGUACGCGAGCUGGGUUUAGAACGUCGUGAGACAGUUCGGUCCCUAUCUGCCGUGGGCGCUGGA
RNAcentral lists this ribosomal RNA (398 nucleotides) under Salmonella enterica subsp. enterica serovar Muenchen. Its description in RNAcentral is "partial 23S ribosomal RNA". It matches the Rfam family "Bacterial large subunit ribosomal RNA", at positions 2261 to 2658 of the family's 2925-position model. Lineage: Bacteria; Pseudomonadati; Pseudomonadota; Gammaproteobacteria; Enterobacterales; Enterobacteriaceae. RNAcentral also lists the same sequence under 2 other names. The record is from RNAcentral.